AAAAGGGCUAUUCUUAUUAAAAAUAUAUAUAUUGUAUUUAAUUGAUGUGUACAUAACCGUACUUAAUGGCAAUUUUCAAUAAGUACUAACAAUUUAUCUUUAUUUAUUGAUUUACAGAUAAAGUCAAAUUUUAAAGACCAGAAUUUAACACUCACCGACGAGUGAACACAGCAAUAGCAUUAGUGAAGUGAUAUCGAGGAUAGCUUAGUCGUUAUGAUGGUGGCAACGGAGGUUCCGAUGGCGUGAAGGAUCUGUGAUUAGCGAUUCGUAUCGUUUGACAUCACAGACGAGCUGAACACCGUUGUUGCUUGAACGGAGUACUAUAGAUGACGCGUCUAAAGCCAAUGACGAUUUAUUUAGUCACUUUAGCGCUUUUGCCGUGGCGCGUCAACUGGCGUCCGUAAUUCUGGCCAUAUAAGCAAACCACCUCCUUGGCUCGUCCGGGUACUAGUUGAGGAAGAGUGGAAUUGUGGGCUAAAAAGGUUGAAGCCGAAUUUCGGCCGCCUUAUCUUUAUAAAGCAUGCAAACCACGUACCGUGGAUGUCGUAGGAACGCAAACGAUAUCAGCCCUAUGGCGGGUAUUGUAGGACUUGCGUAAUAAUUGUGGUAGAGAACUGCGUACCUUUAGAGCAGUUGGCGGCAAUCUAGACGUCCAAUGGCGGUUGUAAAACCACCGUCGCCUUGAUAAGCGUUUCGCUGAUUAAAAAUGACGGUGGACUAGUGUUUCAAAGGUCUAGGGUGAAGAUGAAUUUCAUCCGCCUGAAGCCUUUGAUAACACGCUUACGGCGUCGGACGUCAAUUAAAUAGGUUGUUGUAAAACCAUUGUAGUUGAAACGAAACCAACAAUAUAUUGGCGGAGUGACGACAAUGAUGGACCAAUUGCCUAGAGAGCCGCGAACUUCGACCAACUGCCACGACAAUGCAUUGCUUAAACAUAAAAAUUAUAAAUAAUAGCGUUCAAUGGCGCUGAGUAGUAGUCAGUGGUAAGAAAUUAUUGAGAUGAGAACUUCCCCCCUUCUUCAGAGAAGAUGGAUAUCGUCUUCUCACCACUUUGCGACACAUUCGUAUCGGUUUCCCUGGUAAUGAGGCGGAAUAGUUAAAAAAAAAACAAUCAUACUCAAAACCGCAAAUAAAAACAAUCACUUUUCAUAUGCAUUUCGUAAAUAAAUCCCAUGAGAAUAAAUGUAUUUUUGCUAUGUAUUGGAAAUUGGAUAUCCCUUUUUUCAAUAGGCGAAAUACAAAAAGUUAGAAUUUAAAUUUCAUCGAUUCUAAAAAUAAAUCGCGUGUAUUCUACCGUUGAAUUCGUCAGAUUUUAGAACAACAUGAACUUCUUGAAUAGUUGGCGGUCAUUUUAAUUAUUAUGAAUCCUGAAAGCAAGAAGUAUUUGUUCUAAUCCCAAUAGGAUUUUCAACAUGAUUUCUUUUGAAUUUACAUCUGCAGAAUAUAACUGCAUUUGUUGGAUUUUACGUGCCUUGCUGUAUUUUGUUCUCCAAAUAUAAAACCUAUAAAAUAAUAACAUAUAAGUAAGUAUUUUUACGAUUUCCAGUACAUUAUAUAGCACUUUAUUAGAUUUGUUUAAAAAACGAUAUUGAUUUUUAAAUAUUAUAUCAUUAUUCAUGAUAAAUAUGUAAUAUUUUUAAUCAUUUGGUUUUUAAAUAGCUAUCAAUACACGAAUAUUUAUUUUAUAUCUAAAAUUUUGUAUUCCUUAACAGUUACUUAUAGACCUAUAUAUUUAUAUUGUAUAUUGAACUGGGUGUGCUAUAAUCUGAAAACUAAAAAUACUAUGAGUGGUUAUAAGUUAUAAAUUAUAAUAACUAAUAACUAAUAAUUACAAGUUAUAAUAUUUGAUAAUUAUGAGUGUUAAUAUUUGAAGUAUUAUAAAUUUUUAUAUCAUUGUACCGUGUUUAACAACAACAAUCAGGGCAGGAAUGUGAGAAAACUCUUAGUUUAAUCAUUCUUUCGACACAAUGCUAUUUGGAUAAACAACAGUAAUCAUUGCCAUACUUAAUUUGUUCACAAAUGACAACAAUUAUCAAAUUUGAAUAGUGGUAUUCAUUCUCUUCGAUUGAUGGAAAACGAGAAUCUACCAAGUACCAAUGUUGUCAAUCUCGAUGCUAAUGAAAAGUGUGCUUACUGUACUUUUAUACAUCAGUUAUAUAUGGAAAAUAACUCAUAAUUUAAUAGAUAACCAGGAUUUAUCUAAUAAUAUAAGAUAUAAACAAUCACUUAAAAAUUGUAAGUUAAAAGCUACUACAGUAAUCUAUACAAUAAUUAUUUUAAAUGAUACAUUUCAUAAAUUCAAAACAUUACUGUCAUGUUCACAGAUUAAAUAGCAAUAACGCAGUAUUGUGUAGUAAGUACACUAUAUCACUAAAUUGGUUUUAACUAUUUUGAUUAAAUGUCAUGGUCACCUUUAAUCAUGAAUCAUGAUAGACCACCGACAACAUCAUGGAAACAAAACGACUCAUCGGUCUCCAACGUAAAUUGAAUCUACAACUUCCACAAACAACUGUACUGAGCGUUGCAUUACCAGCUGUCCAUACUGGCGGCCAUGUAAAGUGUGCUUACAGCUUAUUGACAUUUGACAUUGACAGUUAAUUUUAUAGAUCAUAUCGUACGGGUUUUUUUUUAAAUAGCGCUCAAAUGCUGUAAAUCAUUAUAAGAACAUAAUCUGUAUUGUGAAGCUAUUAAACUGGUCAUUUUUA
Long non-coding RNA from Rhopalosiphum padi (bird cherry-oat aphid), 2705 nucleotides. RefSeq lists it as uncharacterized. The transcript has 2 exons. The record is from RefSeq and is a predicted model, not a curated record. Lineage: Eukaryota; Metazoa; Arthropoda; Insecta; Hemiptera; Aphididae.